GACGAACGCUGGCGGCGUGCCUAAUACAUGCAAGUAGAACGCUGAAGGAGGAGCUUGCUUCUCUGGAUGAGUUGCGAACGGGUGAGUAACGCGUAGGUAACCUGCCUGGUAGCGGGGGAUAACUAUUGGAAACGAUAGCUAAUACCGCAUAAGAGUAGAUGUCGCAUGACAUUUGCUUAAAAGGUGCAAUUGCAUCACUACCAGAUGGACCUGCGUUGUAUUAGCUAGUUGGUGAGGUAACGGCUCACCAAGGCAACGAUACAUAGCAGACCUGAGAGGGUGAUCGGCCACACUGGGACUGAGACACGGCCCAGACUCCUACGGGAGGCAGCAGUAGGGAAUCUUCGGCAAUGGACGGAAGUCUGACCGAGCAACGCCGCGUGAGUGAAGAAGGUUUUCGGAUCGUAAAGCUCUGUUGUAAGAGAAGAACGAGUGUGAGAGUGGAAAGUUCACACUGUGACGGUAUCUUACCAGAAAGGGACGGCUAACUACGUG
This 495-nucleotide ribosomal RNA is filed under the name uncultured bacterium. RNAcentral describes it as "partial 16S ribosomal RNA". It matches the Rfam family "Bacterial small subunit ribosomal RNA", at positions 28 to 507 of the family's 1533-position model. The record is from RNAcentral.